UACGUAGGGACCGAGCGUUGUCCGGAUUCAUUGGGCGUAAAGAGCUCGUAGGCGGCUGUUCAAGUCGAACGUGAAAACUCGGAGCUCAACUCCGAGCCUGCGUUCGAUACUGGACGGCUAGAGUCUGGUAGGGGGAUCUGGAAUUCCUGGUGUGGCGGUGAAAUGCGCAGAUAUCAGGAGGAACACCGAUGGCGAAGGCAGGUCUCUGGGCCACUACUGACGCUGAGAAGCGAAAGCAUGGGGAGCGAACAGG
RNAcentral lists this ribosomal RNA (253 nucleotides) under uncultured bacterium. Its description in RNAcentral is "partial 16S ribosomal RNA". It matches the Rfam family "Bacterial small subunit ribosomal RNA", at positions 524 to 776 of the family's 1533-position model. The record is from RNAcentral.